GGGUGGGAUUCUACCCUAGCUGUGUUUGCUUUCUAACCCGCACCACUUAUCGUGGUGGGAGACAAUGUCAGGCGGGCAGUUUGACUGGGGCGGUCGCCUCCUAAAAGGUAACGGAGGCGCUCAAAGGUUCCCUCAGAAUGGUUGGAAAUCAUUCAUAGAGUGUAAAGGCAUAAGGGAGCUCGACUGCGAGACCUACAAGUCGAGCAGGGUCGAAAGACGGACUUAGUGAUCCGGUGGUUCCGCAUGGAAGGGCCAUCGCCCAACGGACAAAACCUACACCCGGGAUAACAGG
Molecule: ribosomal RNA, 292 nt
Filed under: Pseudomonas aeruginosa
Lineage: Bacteria; Pseudomonadati; Pseudomonadota; Gammaproteobacteria; Pseudomonadales; Pseudomonadaceae
Description: partial 23S ribosomal RNA
Rfam family: Bacterial large subunit ribosomal RNA
Source: RNAcentral